Molecule: ribosomal RNA, 2902 nt
Filed under: Escherichia coli
Lineage: Bacteria; Pseudomonadati; Pseudomonadota; Gammaproteobacteria; Enterobacterales; Enterobacteriaceae
Description: bacterial LSU rRNA
Source: RNAcentral
UUAAGCGACUAAGCGUACACGGUGGAUGCCCUGGCAGUCAGAGGCGAUGAAGGACGUGCUAAUCUGCGAUAAGCGUCGGUAAGGUGAUAUGAACCGUUAUAACCGGCGAUUUCCGAAUGGGGAAACCCAGUGUGUUUCGACACACUAUCAUUAACUGAAUCCAUAGGUUAAUGAGGCGAACCGGGGGAACUGAAACAUCUAAGUACCCCGAGGAAAAGAAAUCAACCGAGAUUCCCCCAGUAGCGGCGAGCGAACGGGGAGCAGCCCAGAGYCUGAAUCAGUGUGUGUGUUAGUGGAAGCGUCUGGAAAGGCGCGCGAUACAGGGUGACAGCCCCGUACACAAAAAUGCACAURYUGUGAGCUCGAUGAGUAGGGCGGGACACGUGGUAUCCUGUCUGAAUAUGGGGGGACCAUCCUCCAAGGCUAAAUACUCCUGACUGACCGAUAGUGAACCAGUACCGUGAGGGAAAGGCGAAAAGAACCCCGGCGAGGGGAGUGAAAAAGAACCUGAAACCGUGUACGUACAAGCAGUGGGAGCACGCUUAGGCGUGUGACUGCGUACCUUUUGUAUAAUGGGUCAGCGACUUAUAUUCUGUAGCAAGGUUAACCGAAUAGGGGAGCCGAAGGGAAACCGAGUCUUAACUGGGCGUUAAGUUGCAGGGUAUAGACCCGAAACCCGGUGAUCUAGCCAUGGGCAGGUUGAAGGUUGGGUAACACUAACUGGAGGACCGAACCGACUAAUGUUGAAAAAUUAGCGGAUGACUUGUGGCUGGGGGUGAAAGGCCAAUCAAACCGGGAGAUAGCUGGUUCUCCCCGAAAGCUAUUUAGGUAGCGCCUCGUGAAUUCAUCUCCGGGGGUAGAGCACUGUUUCGGCAAGGGGGUCAUCCCGACUUACCAACCCGAUGCAAACUGCGAAUACCGGAGAAUGUUAUCACGGGAGACACACGGCGGGUGCUAACGUCCGUCGUGAAGAGGGAAACAACCCAGACCGCCAGCUAAGGUCCCAAAGUCAUGGUUAAGUGGGAAACGAUGUGGGAAGGCCCAGACAGCCAGGAUGUUGGCUUAGAAGCAGCCAUCAUUUAAAGAAAGCGUAAUAGCUCACUGGUCGAGUCGGCCUGCGCGGAAGAUGUAACGGGGCUAAACCAUGCACCGAAGCUGCGGCAGCGACGCUUAUGCGUUGUUGGGUAGGGGAGCGUUCUGUAAGCCUGUGAAGGUGUGCUGUGAGGCAUGCUGGAGGUAUCAGAAGUGCGAAUGCUGACAUAAGUAACGAUAAAGCGGGUGAAAAGCCCGCUCGCCGGAAGACCAAGGGUUCCUGUCCAACGUUAAUCGGGGCAGGGUGAGUCGACCCCUAAGGCGAGGCCGAAAGGCGUAGUCGAUGGGAAACAGGUUAAUAUUCCUGUACUUGGUGUUACUGCGAAGGGGGGACGGAGAAGGCUAUGUUGGCCGGGCGACGGUUGUCCCGGUUUAAGCGUGUAGGCUGGUUUUCCAGGCAAAUCCGGAAAAUCAAGGCUGAGGCGUGAUGACGAGGCACUACGGUGCUGAAGCAACAAAUGCCCUGCUUCCAGGAAAAGCCUCUAAGCAUCAGGUAACAUCAAAUCGUACCCCAAACCGACACAGGUGGUCAGGUAGAGAAUACCAAGGCGCUUGAGAGAACUCGGGUGAAGGAACUAGGCAAAAUGGUGCCGUAACUUCGGGAGAAGGCACGCUGAUAUGUAGGUGAAGUCCCUUGCGGAUGGAGCUGAAAUCAGUCGAAGAUACCAGCUGGCUGCAACUGUUUAUUAAAAACACAGCACUGUGCAAACACGAAAGUGGACGUAUACGGUGUGACGCCUGCCCGGUGCCGGAAGGUUAAUUGAUGGGGUCAGCGCAAGCGAAGCUCUUGAUCGAAGCCCCGGUAAACGGCGGCCGUAACUAUAACGGUCCUAAGGUAGCGAAAUUCCUUGUCGGGUAAGUUCCGACCUGCACGAAUGGCGUAAUGAUGGCCAGGCUGUCUCCACCCGAGACUCAGUGAAAUUGAACUCGCUGUGAAGAUGCAGUGUACCCGCGGCAAGACGGAAAGACCCCGUGAACCUUUACUAUAGCUUGACACUGAACAUUGAGCCUUGAUGUGUAGGAUAGGUGGGAGGCUUUGAAGUGUGGACGCCAGUCUGCAUGGAGCCGACCUUGAAAUACCACCCUUUAAUGUUUGAUGUUCUAACGUUGACCCGUAAUCCGGGUUGCGGACAGUGUCUGGUGGGUAGUUUGACUGGGGCGGUCUCCUCCUAAAGAGUAACGGAGGAGCACGAAGGUUGGCUAAUCCUGGUCGGACAUCAGGAGGUUAGUGCAAUGGCAUAAGCCAGCUUGACUGCGAGCGUGACGGCGCGAGCAGGUGCGAAAGCAGGUCAUAGUGAUCCGGUGGUUCUGAAUGGAAGGGCCAUCGCUCAACGGAUAAAAGGUACUCCGGGGAUAACAGGCUGAUACCGCCCAAGAGUUCAUAUCGACGGCGGUGUUUGGCACCUCGAUGUCGGCUCAUCACAUCCUGGGGCUGAAGUAGGUCCCAAGGGUAUGGCUGUUCGCCAUUUAAAGUGGUACGCGAGCUGGGUUUAGAACGUCGUGAGACAGUUCGGUCCCUAUCUGCCGUGGGCGCUGGAGAAYUGAGGGGGGCUGCUCCUAGUACGAGAGGACCGGAGUGGACGCAUCACUGGUGUUCGGGUUGUCAUGCCAAUGGCACUGCCCGGUAGCUAAAUGCGGAAGAGAUAAGUGCUGAAAGCAUCUAAGCACGAAACUUGCCCCGAGAUGAGUUCUCCCUGACUCCUUGAGAGUCCUGAAGGAACGUUGAAGACGACGACGUUGAUAGGCCGGGUGUGUAAGCGCAGCGAUGCGUUGAGCUAACCGGUACUAAUGAACCGUGAGGCUUAACCUU